GACGAACGCUGGCGGCGUGCUUAACACAUGCAAGUCGAACGGAAAGGCCCCUUCGGGGGUACUCGAGUGGCGAACAGGUGCGUAACACGUGAGUAACCUGCCCUUGACUUCGGGAUAACUUCAGGAAACUGGGGCUAAUACCGGAUAGGAAUCCUUGCUGCAUGGUGGGGGUUGGAAAGCUUCGGCGGUUUUGGAUGGACUCGCGGCUUAUCAGCUUGUUGGUGGGGUAGUGGCUUACCAAGGCUUUGACGGGUAGCCGGCCUGAGAGGGCGACCGGCCACAUUGGGACUGAGAUACGGCCCAGACUCCUACGGGAGGCAGCAGUGGGGAAGAUUGCACAAUGGGCGGAAGCCUGAUGCAGCAACGCCGCGGGCGGGAUGACGGCCUUCGGGUUGUAAACCGCUUUCAGCAGGGGCGAAGCUUGUGGUGACGGUACCUGCAGAAGAAGCACCGGCUAACUACGUG
Molecule: ribosomal RNA, 465 nt
Filed under: uncultured bacterium
Lineage: Bacteria
Description: partial 16S ribosomal RNA
Rfam family: Bacterial small subunit ribosomal RNA
Source: RNAcentral